RNAcentral lists this unclassified non-coding RNA (354 nucleotides) under soil metagenome. RNAcentral's name for it is "partial contains 5.8S ribosomal RNA, internal transcribed spacer 2, and large subunit ribosomal RNA". The stretch from base 1 to 120 matches the Rfam family "5.8S ribosomal RNA", at positions 35 to 154 of the family's 154-position model. The record is from RNAcentral.
GAUGAAGAACGUAGCGAAAUGCGAUAAGUAAUGUGAAUUGCAGAAUUCAGUGAAUCAUCGAAUCUUUGAACGCACAUUGCGCCCCUUGGUAUUCCGGGGGGCAUGCCUGUCCGAGCGUCAUUUCAACCCUCGAACCCCUCCGGGGGGUCGGCGUUGGGGAUCGGCCCUCCCUUAGCGGGUGGCCGUCUCCGAAAUACAGUGGCGGUCUCGCCGCAGCCUCUCCUGCGCAGUAGUUUGCACACUCGCAUCGGGAGCGCGGCGCGUCCACAGCCGUUAAACACCCAACUUCUGAAAUGUUGACCUCGGAUCAGGUAGGAAUACCCGCUGAACUUAAGCAUAUCAAUAAGCGGAGGA